UCUAGACCAUUUCUUCUCCUAUCCCUCUAUGUGAUCUUCAACCCCCAUCUAGCCUUUGCUCCAGUAAGAUCUGUCACCGGUGGCGGAUGUACAUUGAUACUUAUAGGUGCUUGAGCAUCCAUUACUUUUAACCAAAUUUAGUAAAUUUACAUAGACAAUUAUAAAUAUAGAUAGAUAAAUAUUGAGUGAGCACCAAUAAUUAAACUUUUUUUUCUCUUUUUUUGGAUUUUUUACUGGCGAGUACCCAUCACUUUAAAAUUCUGGAUCCGCCACUGUCUGCCACAUUAACACCGUAAUAUAUUAUUUCAAUUUCUCUCUUUCUCACAAGCACAUACACACUAUUUACAAUGUUUGAUUUUCUUCAAAAAAAAGUUUUUUAUUUAACAAUUUUAGAAGACUAAAUCUGCAACGCUGCGCAUUUACUUCUCAUGCUUCUUUUGUUCAUUACAGAUCCAGGGCAUGUCAUAUUAUUUCUCAUGCGGAAUUUCCUUUCCUUGCAUUUAUUGUAAUUUUCUUGUUAAGCCAAAGAAGAAUUGAUAAUAAAUACUCCAUUGCUUAAACUCGAGUAUAUGAAGGUGGAAAUUUCUUCAGGAUUGAAUUAUUAGACAAGUGGUUAUAUUAGCAAUUUGAGGAAGCAACAAAUUUUUAUUUAUUUUUUA
Nicotiana tabacum (common tobacco) is the source of this 659-nucleotide non-coding RNA. NCBI's taxonomy places the organism in Eukaryota, Viridiplantae, Streptophyta, Magnoliopsida, Solanales, Solanaceae. The record is from RefSeq and is a predicted model, not a curated record.